RNAcentral lists this ribosomal RNA (484 nucleotides) under uncultured bacterium. RNAcentral describes it as "partial 16S ribosomal RNA". It matches the Rfam family "Bacterial small subunit ribosomal RNA", at positions 29 to 507 of the family's 1533-position model. The record is from RNAcentral.
AUUGAACGCUGGCGGCAUGCUUUACACAUGCAAGUCGAACGGCAGCGCGGGCUUCGGCCUGGCGGCGAGUGGCGAACGGGUGAGUAAUGCAUCGGAACGUGCCCAGUAGUGGGGGAUAGCCCGGCGAAAGCCGGAUUAAUACCGCAUACGACCUGAGGGUGAAAGCGGGGGACCGAAAGGCCUCGCGCUAUUGGAGCGGCCGAUGUCGGAUUAGCUAGUUGGUGGGGUAAAGGCUUACCAAGGCGACGAUCCGUAGCUGGUCUGAGAGGACGACCAGCCACACUGAGACUGAGACACGGCCCAGACUCCUACGGGAGGCAGCAGUGGGGAAUGUUGGACAAUGGGGGCAACCCUGAUCCAGCCAUGCCGCGUGCGGGAAGAAGGCCUUCGGGUUGUAAACCGCUUUUGUUCGGGAAGAAAUCCUCUGGGCUAAUACCCCGGGGGGAUGACGGUACCGGAAGAAUAAGCACCGGCUAACUACGUG